RNAcentral lists this microRNA precursor (201 nucleotides) under Oryza barthii. Its description in RNAcentral is "MIR812 microRNA precursor family". It matches the Rfam family "MIR812 microRNA precursor family". Lineage: Eukaryota; Viridiplantae; Streptophyta; Magnoliopsida; Poales; Poaceae. The record is from Rfam by way of RNAcentral.
UUUAAGUGCAGCUAUGAUUUUCCGUGCACAACUUUGAUCGUUCGUCUUAUUUGAUUUUUUUUAAAAAAAUAAAAACAUAAGUCACAUAUAAAGUACUAUUCAUGUCUUAUAAUCUCAUAAUAAUAAAAAUACUAAGUAUAAAAAAAUUCAAAUAAGACGAACGAUCAAAAUUGGGCACGAAAACUUAUGGUUGCACUUAAA